Molecule: long non-coding RNA, 1426 nt
Filed under: Homo sapiens (human)
Lineage: Eukaryota; Metazoa; Chordata; Mammalia; Primates; Hominidae
Description: long non-coding RNA NONHSAT175029.1
Source: RNAcentral
GGAACUGUCUUCCUCCGCAGGCGCGAGGCUGGGUACAGGGUCUAUUGUCUGUGGUUGACUCCGUACUUUGGUCUGAGGCCUUCGGGAGCUUUCCCGAGGCAGUUAGCAGAAGCCGCAGCGGCCGCCCCCGCCCGUCUCCUCUGUCCCUGGGCCCGGGAGGGACCAACUUGGCGUCACGCCCCUCAGCGGUCGCCACUCUCUUCUCUGUUGUUGGGUCCGCAUCGUAUUCCCGGAAUCAGACGGUGCCCCAUAGAUGGCCAGCUUUCCCCCGAGGGUCAACGAGAAAGAGAUCGUGAGAUUACGUACUAUAGGUGAACUUUUAGCUCCUGCAGCUCCUUUUGACAAGAAAUGUGGUCGUGAAAAUUGGACUGUUGCUUUUGCUCCAGAUGGUUCAUACUUUGCUUGGUCACAAGGACAUCGCACAGUAAAGCUUGUUCCGUGGUCCCAGUGCCUUCAGAACUUUCUCUUGCAUGGCACCAAGAAUGUUACCAAUUCAAGCAGUUUAAGAUUGCCAAGACAAAAUAGUGAUGGUGGUCAGAAAAAUAAGCCUCGUGAACAUAUUAUAGACUGUGGAGAUAUAGUCUGGAGUCUUGCUUUUGGGUCAUCAGUUCCAGAAAAACAGAGUCGCUGUGUAAAUAUAGAAUGGCAUCGCUUCAGAUUUGGACAAGAUCAGCUACUUCUUGCUACAGGGUUGAACAAUGGGCGUAUCAAAAUAUGGGAUGUAUAUACAGGAAAACUCCUCCUUAACUUGGUAGAUCAUACUGAAGUGGUCAGAGAUUUAACUUUUGCUCCAGAUGGAAGCUUGAUCCUGGUGUCAGCUUCAAGAGACAAAACUCUCAGAGUAUGGGACCUGAAAGAUGAUGGAAACAUGAUGAAAGUAUUGAGGGGGCAUCAGAAUUGGGUGUACAGCUGUGCAUUCUCUCCUGACUCUUCUAUGCUGUGUUCAGUCGGAGCCAGUAAAGCAGUGGUGGCAGCAAUAUUGGUGUGAUUGAGGUUAUGCUGGCACCACUCGCACACAGGCGCACAAUGGUGUUAGCUGGGCAGAAAGAGUGGCAUCUCUGGCUACCGGGCUGGGGGCGACCUUUACCAUAGGAUGAAGUAACCUUGCAUUCGGCUGCAAGGUGUACUGUACGUACACAGGUGCUGGUCGAUGUCCACUUUCUGCUUUUCUUUCUUUCUUUUUUUCUUUUUUAAAGUAAUUUCCCCCACAGUAAAAUACACUGACUCCUGAGUAAAUUGAUUUUCCAGUUUUAUGGAAUUGGGAGUCUGACAAGUGAAACCAAUUUAAUGUAAAGUAUUUGGCUUUCAAAUGGUUUCUCUGUGCUAUUUUUUGGAAUUCUUUCAGAUUCCAGAGAUAUCUUACGUCUUUGAUUCAAUUUAAAAUUUGUACUUAUUUUCUUUUAGAAAUAAUGUAUUGUGUCUGUGC